Molecule: non-coding RNA, 108 nt
Organism: Geopyxis carbonaria
Lineage: Eukaryota; Fungi; Ascomycota; Pezizomycetes; Pezizales; Tarzettaceae
Source: the annotation of a GenBank genome assembly
GUCUGGUUGGCUCAGUUGGUAGAGCGUCGGUCUCAUAUCUGGUCAGCAUAUGACGGUUCCGCAGGAGCUGCAAUCCGAAGAUCGCGAGUUCGAUCCUCGCACCGGACA